RNAcentral lists this transfer RNA (76 nucleotides) under Sphaerodactylus townsendi. Its description in RNAcentral is "tRNA-Ala". It matches the Rfam family "tRNA". Rfam says of the family: Transfer RNA (tRNA) molecules are approximately 80 nucleotides in length. The record is from RNAcentral. Lineage: Eukaryota; Metazoa; Chordata; Lepidosauria; Squamata; Sphaerodactylidae.
GGGCAUGUCUGAUGCUCAGUGGUAGAGAAUCUCCUUUGCAUGGAGAAGGUCCUAGAUUCAAUCUCUGGCAUAUCCA